RNAcentral lists this ribosomal RNA (253 nucleotides) under uncultured bacterium. RNAcentral's name for it is "partial 16S ribosomal RNA". It matches the Rfam family "Bacterial small subunit ribosomal RNA", at positions 524 to 776 of the family's 1533-position model. The record is from RNAcentral.
UACGUAGGGGGCAAGCGUUGUCCGGAAUCAUUGGGCGUAAAGAGCUUGUAGGCGGUUUGUCGCGUCUGCUGUGAAAUUCCAGGGCUUAACCCUGGGCUUGCAGUGGGUACGGGCAGACUAGAGUGUGGUAGGGGAGACUGGAAUUCCUGGUGUAGCGGUGAAAUGCGCAGAUAUCAGGAGGAACACCGAUGGCGAAGGCAGGUCUCUGGGCCACUACUGACGCUGAGAAGCGAAAGCAUGGGGAGCGAACAGG